This 3498-nucleotide long non-coding RNA is filed under the name Sus scrofa (pig). RNAcentral's name for it is "lncRNA (ENSSSCG00000052943.1)". The record is from RNAcentral. Lineage: Eukaryota; Metazoa; Chordata; Mammalia; Artiodactyla; Suidae.
UGCUAAAGCUAGGAAGAAAUAACCAAGGGAAAAAAAAAAUCCAUCUAUCAGUCCAGAUGGUAUGAAAAGGAUGUUAAUCAAAAUAGCAUUCAGGAACAUCUGGUCUCAUAAGCUUUGUUUAUCAUUUCCUAGGCCUCAGAAAAAGCUUUGUGAGUUGUAGGUGGCCUGGUAUUUCUCACAGUGUUCCAGAUGUUUCUCCUGAAGUCAAGGACAGACACAGGAAAUUUGUUUAACAUUAUAAUUUUUAAUCAUGAACAGGACGUGAUACUUUUGACUUUCAUUUCCUCUCAGCACCUUCUCAGAUGUUAUAUUUUUAUUCAUUUUUAAAGGUUAUUAAAAUAAUAUCUCACCUUCACAUCCCACUGUUACUGACUGCAGGAAAUAAAAUACAUAUUUUUUUUGUUUUUAUUUUCUCCAAACCUGGCAUAGUUUCUCUCACUUUCUGAGUCCUCCAUAAAUAUGUGAAUUAAAUAAAUAUAGGGAUGAGUGAUCAAAUUAAUUAAAAUUUUACAUUUCUCUCUUAUGUGAGCAUAGUAAGAUUACAAUAAGAUACCCCCAAAUGCAUACCCACACAUAACUGGUUUUGUGAAAAGAUGAGAAAAAGUAAAUUAUUCCAAGAGAAAUGUUUCAUAUUGUCACCUUCCAGUGCCAGGUCAAGUGACCUCAUGGAUUCUUCAUCAACUAGUGAUCAAUAUAAGCAAUAGCAGCAUUGUCUAUGCUAGGAUUCCAUGAAAUAAUGAUCUCAGCUGUGAAAUUUAUAUGUGUUUCCAUGGUUUUCUAGUUAAAUAUGCUGGUACAGUGCCUGAGGCCCCCUGAGACUCCUGCAGUUUCAGGAAUAUGCUUUCUUUAUGGCACAGGACUGUUUAUUCAUAACUGUCAAACCACCAGCAAGUUAUCAACCCACAUUCAAGCAGGCACCAAGCUAUAUUUUUGUUAAUGUGAGCUCUUAAGGGAAACAGAAACUAGACUGUGUUUUUAUAUAAUUUUAAGCUCAUGAGAGAAAACACAAGGAUGUUUUCAAAACAAUAAAAUUCUUUCUCCUUAAGAGUUUUUCUUUUUUUUUUUUUCCUUUCUUUUCUUUCUUUUUUUUUUUUGUGGUGUUGUUUAAGCAAGGACUGUUUUGGAAAUACUGACAGGAUCUUAGCAAAGGCAUCCAGCGGGAAACAUAUAAUAUGUUUAUUUAUCUUAGAAACCACAAGAACAUUGCAAAAGGCCAGAAUUGGCCCUGUAAAAUGUGUUACUAACAUGUACAGUAUGACUGCUCAGUCUGGAUAAAGUUAAGGCAUUUCGGCCCUGAUAAAGAAGAGCAAUCGAUAUUCUGGCAUCUCCCAAAUUUAUGCCUAUAGCCCACCCCUCUCCCCUGAAGUUCAGACUCCUAGAUCCAAAGCCUCUUUUAUACCUCCACAUGGGAAUAGGCAUCUUGAAAGAAUGAACACUUCCAAAACCAGAUUUUGAUUUCAGCCUCCCUCCACCCCAGCCUCUCAGUGUUUCCCAUCUCAGUCAAUGGUGACUUCAUCCUCCCAGCAGUUCAGGCCAAAAUUCCUGGAGCCGUCUCUGUCUCUAUUCUUUCUCUCUCACAACCCAUUUGAGCUUCCUAGUCCUCUGUAGCUUCAGAACACUUCCAUAUUGUAACCGCGUCUCACCACCGUCUCUGCUGCUGUCUGGGUCAAAACCAUCAUCCUCAUCCCUUGCUUAUUGCAGUCGUGUCCUCAAUAUCCCACCCUGGGUCCCUCCCUGUCCCUCGGGAGUCUGUGCAACCUGAGGUUGCCUUUCACAGGCAGUGCAAUCAAGUCAUUCUCUUGCCGAAAACACUUAAAUAGUGUCCAGUCUUGCCGGGGAGGGAAGGGGUGAAAAUGGUCUUUAACAUUGCCUUAAAAGUCCGGCAGAAUUUAGGUUCCCAUUACUUCUCUGACCUCAAGCCACAUGUUGCCUCUCCUCGUUCAUUUUACCUCUGCACGUUUGACCUCUCUGCUGUUCCUGGAGCCUGCCGUGCAUCUUCCUAAACUUGGGCUCCCUUUGGGGGCUUUCUUCCUUCUGUCCUUUCUAUCUCUGCUCAAAUGUUACUUUCUCAGAAGGUCUUUUUUCAGACCAUCCCUUAUAAAAUGACGAGUCCCAUUGUCUCAUGUUCCGAUUCCUUGAGCCUUCUUUUCUUUCCUCCCUUUCAUCUGUCAUCCCUCAAAGGCCUCUUCCCACAGCAAUGUCUGCUACAUGAGGGUAAGAUAUUGUUCAUUGCUCUAUCUCAGCCACGAGGACAGUGUCAGACCCACAGGAGGUCUUUAAUAAAUAUGUGUUGAAUGAAUGAAGUGAUAUGUGCUUCCUAACACAAAUGUCGGGCCUGGAUAGAAGGGCUGAUUAUUUUGAUAUUCACAUAUAUUUUAAAAUCGAUUAGUAUUUCUGUGCUUGUCUGUGGAGGCCUGGAAGCAUUGACUUAGCCCUCAUUGAUUGUCCCUGUUGGAAUAAGGAGCUUGGUGUUUUGACUAUCAGUGGCCAACUAGUGGCUGGGAAUCAUGUUCUCAGGGGAUGUCUCAUCCAGGCUUUCUCUGGCUGUCUUGCACUGGGUGGGGACACAAGGACUUUGUCUUACUUCAGAAUUAUUUAAUUCCACUUGAAGGUUGUUUUACAUCCCUGGAUGUUUAUAGUUGAUUGUAAUAAGUUUGGUGUUUUCCCUGUCUUGGUUUUUCUGUGUUUUCCACUGUUAUACUUUGUAGUGUGAAACUGACAGUCUGUCGUGGACCUGUGACUUGAAAUAACUGUGACAGAUGGUGCACUAAGGAUACAUAAACAAAACCCCUGAAAGAAACUCUUCAGCAAUAAAUGUGAGAAUUAAAAAAUGAGCAGCAAAGUCAGAAAUGAAAUAUCAGCUCAGCAACCUAUGUAACACCUGUGCGAGCAGUAGCAGAAUCUGAAGGGCAGUGAAGUCUUGGAAAGAGUUAACAGUGUGGAUUUCGGAGCAGUCCUGGAACAGGCUUUGCUAGAACUUUGGAUGAAUGAGAAACUGUUGUAUAUACAUUUGGGGUUUACAUAAGGGAUCAGACAUCUCUUUGUUUGCCUGGAAGUUAAGGCAAUGAGAUCCUGGAUUUGCAAUAAACUGUGGAAUGAGGAGUUCCUUAGAAUUGUAUUAUGAAGAAAAAAGAAAAAAGAAAAGAAAGGGAUUGAGGAUGACUCAGUAAAAUGAAUGAACCAGGAAAAAAGCAGACACCCAGGUUAUGCCUGAUUUAUACGACGAGAAUGACAUAGUAACUUUCAUUGCCAGAUCAAGGUCAUGCAAGAGGAAUGCAUUAAAAGAACAUAAAUACUGUGUUCUGGAAAUUUGGGGUCACUUGGAUGUGGUAAGAGGGACAGCCCUGAAGACAAAACGGUAUACAACCUGGGCCAGCAUAAAUGUAUGAAGGACGCUGAACCAACCACGAAGGACCAGAGGCAAAUUCACAGUUUUUAACUUCUUAUGUAAACCACACAAAUAAAAGUGUUAGUAAAAAGAAAGACAAUAAGUACGCA